GAAUCCAAAGCGGAAAAGUCAGGAAGACAUUCACAAAACCAAAUCAAACGCACCAAAUAUCACAUCAAAGAAUAAAUUAUAUAAAUUGACAGAUUGAAAGAAACUCAGUAGAGAUUAGAAAGAGAAAGAGAGACCGGAGGAAGUGGGAGACGUAGUUGUAGAGGUUAACGAAGGAAGCCAUUGCCAAGAAAUCAAGCUUGAAUAAUUAACAUUUAUUGUUACUAUUGAAGUUUUGGUUUCAACUUUGUUGUUUUCAUCUUGUUGAUACUGCUGCAAUUGCAGCAUUGUUUAUAUACAUUUUACAUACACGCAUGCAAUAAAGAAAAGCAAUACAGGUGUUGUGCUUGCUGUCAUGAUGCAGCAACUAGAGAAAGAGAAAAACAGCAAAACCAUGUGAUAGUCUAUCUGUCCAACAUUCCUUUUCACAACCAUGUGAUAGUCUAUCUGUCAAGGAAUAUACAACAUUCCUUUUCACGAGCAAUAUUCCUUCUCUCCCAUACUGUCCUAGCUGUCCUAGCUGCCUAGCUGUCAAUACUCCCCCUCAAGCUGGAUCAAGGGGGUUGAUUGAUCCAAGCUUGAACAAUAACCGUUGAAACUGUGUAAAAUCAAGAGCUUUCGUGAAAAGAUCCGCAAGUUGAUCAUGACUUCUAGUGUACACAGUUUCAAUGACUUUGGAUUGAACUUGAGUGCGGAUGUAGUGGCAGUCGACUUCAAUGUGUUUAGUCCGUUCAUGGAAUACAGGAUUGGAUGCAAUAUGCAUGGCAGCCUGGUUGUCACAAAAUAAGGAUAUGGGUUCCUUGCUGGUGAAGCCAAGAUCAAGAAGGAGACUCUUCAACCAGAUGAGUUCAGAAGCUGUUGCGGCCAUGGCCCGAUAUUCAGCUUCAGCACUGGACCGUGCAACCACUGUUUGUUUUUUACUUUUCCAGGUGACAAGGUUUCCACCUACAAAGGUACAAAAACCGGUGGUGGAUUUUCGAUCAAGGGAAUUACCAGCCCAGUCCGCAUCGGUAUAGGCCAGAAUGUGAUUAGACUCAUUUUUUUGCAUGAGUAUGCCUCUGCCGAUCGAGCCCUUGAGGUAUCGAAGUAUUCUCUUGACAAUUUCCCAAUGAACCAAUGUAGGAGAAUGCAUAAACUGACUGAUAAGGCUUACGGAGUAAGCAAUAUCAGGCCUUGUGAUAGUGAGGUAAAUGAGUUUCCCAACCAUGCGUUGAUACACAUUAGGAUUUGAAAGAAGAUUACCUGGAGCAUCCAGUUGAAGUUUGCUAGCAAGUGGGGUGCGGGCAGGUUUGCAGUUGACCAUAUGUGCUUCAUUAAGAAGGUCAAGAACAUACUUCCUUUGAUUUAAGAAUAAACCCUUGGAGGAGGUAGCCAUCUCAAUUCCCAGAAAAUAUUUCAAGGAUCCCAAAUCUUUAAUGGCAAACUGUUGGUGAAGUGACCUUUUAAGAGCCUCGAGUUCAUCCAUGUUGUCUCCCGUGAUGAUAAGGUCGUCAACAUAUAUAAGGACUACAAGCUUCCCUUGGACACCACUUCGAACAAAAAGAGAGGAGUCAGCAUGACUCCUUUUGAACCCUGCCACUUCAAGAACGGAGCUCAGUUUGGCAUACCAAGCUCGUGGAGACUGUUUAAGUCCAUAUAUCGCUUUAUGAAGCUUGCAGACUUUGGUAGGUUCUUUUUCUUGAGGGUGUCCUGGAGGUAGUUUCAUGUACACCUCUUCUUGAAGCUCACCGUGAAGAAAUGCGUUUUUAACAUCCAUUUGAAACAAGGGCCAGUCGUGGUUGACUGCUACUGAUAACAACACCCUCACGGUGUUCAUUUUGGCAACGGGAGCAAAGGUCUCCUUGUAGUCAAUGCCGUAAGUUUGAGUGAAACCCCGAGCAACCAACCGGGCCUUGUGUCUUUCAAUGGUACCAUUAGAGUUGAAUUUGGUCUUGUAAAUCCAUCUACUCCCUACGGCUUUCUUCCCUUUGGGAAGAUCUACUACACUCCAGGUUUUAUUUUCGUUCAGUGCUUUGAGCUCAUCAUGCAUGGCAUCUCUCCACAUAGGCAUACAUACUGCUUCUUGAAAGUUUUUAGGCUCAACAUUGUUUGCCAACUGACUUAGGAAGGAUGCAUGAGAUGCUGACAUUUUGUGAUAAGUGAGGGCUUCAGAAAUGGGAUGCCUUGCACUGUAAGUGAUGUACUCUUGUAGCUGUCGAGGAGGGUUGCGAUCGCGAGUUGGAUUCCUUUUUGGUGCUGCUACAAUUGGUUGUGUGGCAACAACUGGUGCUGGGGCACGAGAUAUAUCUUCACUGACCAUCUCAUCAACUGGAGGAUCACUUGUAGGGUGGUAUGGGGGGGUGUCUGUAUGGAUUUCAGCAAGAGUUGGUAGUGGAAAAAUAUCCAUUAGACUCUCCCCCUGAGAACUAUUUGGGGAGUGAUUGUUGAAGAAAGGAACGUGUUCAUCAAACCGUACAUCCCUAGAGACAACCAGCUUCCCAGUGUGUGGGUUAUAACAUUUGUAUCCCUUUUGAGAACUCGAGUACCCCAUAAACACACACUUGAUAGCUCGAGGUUCGAGUUUAUCACGAUGAUUUGCUUGAACGUGAACAUAACAAGUGCACCCAAAAAUCCUGAAAUGAGUUAAAUAAGCAGUUCUUCCCUUCAUAACUUCAAAAGUUGAUUUGGAAUUCAGGACACGAGUGGGAAGUCUGUUAAUGAUAUAUGCUGCAGUAAGGAGUGCUUGGGACCAGAAUCUCUUGGGAACUUGCAUCUGAAACAUGAGAGACCUAGUUUUCUCCAAUAAAUCCCUAUUCUUGCGUUCAGCCACACCAUUUUGUUGUGGUGUACCCACACAACUAGUUUGAUGCAAGAUACCAUGGCUGCUCAAGUAGUUUGACAAAUUAUUGGAGGUAUACUCGGUGCCAUUAUCUGACCGUAAGGUAAAUAUUUUUGAGGAGAAGUGGUUGGUUAUUAGCUUAUGAAAGUCUUGAAAAGUUGUAAAAAAUUCACUUUUAGACUUUAAGAGAUAUAACCAAGUAACCCUAGAGUAGUCAUCUAUGAAUGUAACAAAAUACUUGUACCCAUCAAAUGACUCAACACGAGAAGGUCCCCAAAUAUCUGAGUGUACAACUUCAAAAGGUUUACUAGUUCUAGAUUUAGAGGGUACAAAAGGUAGCCUAGUGGCUUUUGACAUUUGACAGAUCUCACACUCAUGUGUGUUGGUACAAUAAUUUGGAAAUAAUUUAGACAUUACUGGUUCGGAGGGAUGAGCUAGGCGUUGGUGCCAAAGUUGAUGCUUCUGGACAUGGCUUAGGUUGGCAAUGGGUUCCUUAACUUGAUUGAACUCCUUUGAGAGGUAGUACAAACCAUCUAAGAAAAAACCCUCACCAAUCUUCUUCUGAGUGACUCGAUCCUGAAAUACAACUGUGUGAGGAGAAAAAAUAGCAAGACAGUUCAAAGUAUGUGUGAUUUUUCCUAUGGACAGAAGCUGAAAUGGAAAUGAGGGUACAUAUAGUGCCGUAGACUCUACAUCACUCCCCAUCAAUUUAAUUUUUCCUUUUCCUAGAACUGGUUCCCCUUUCCCAUUCGCUUCAGACACAUGAGUAGGAUUAGGUAAUUUUUGAAACUCAUGUAGACAAGCUUGUUUGUUGGUUAUAUGGUUAGUGGCACCUGAGUCUAUAAUCCAAAAAUCGUGUGUGAGAUAUACAUUGAGAGCCGUGGAAAGUGCACAAAUGAUACCUGGGAUAUUGCCGGAUGUAGUGGUGUUUGAAUUUGCCAAAAAACCAGCAAAUUUUCCAAGCAUUUCUGUGGGAUUUUUCGUGGUGACAUUGUUACCCUCAGCGAUAUCACUCUUCUUUUGGAGAAAGGCAGCAAACUCAUUGAUCAGGGAGAUAGGGUUUGAGGUGAAGUUUGACAUCUCAUUAGAUGGACAACUCAGAGAUUGGAAGGCCUUAGGCGCAAACCCUUUCCCAUCCCUGAUCAUUUUUCCUUCCUUGUUAAACUUAGGUUUUAACUCAGGAUGUAAAAUCCAGCAUUUUUCCCGUACGUGCCCCUUGGUGUUGCAGUAUGUGCAUUUCCAGUCAGCUUUCCUUCCAUUAGAAGGCCUUUCACUAGUGAAGUUGUGGUUACUAGUGAAAACCCUAGCUUCUGGGCUAGACCGGGGCUCAACAUGCAUUACUUUCCUUCGAGUUUCUUCUCUUUGGACUGCAUGACACACGUUGACGAAAGAUGGUAGCUCAGGGGUCAUUAGUAAGUGGCUACGCAAGUCUUCAUACUCAACUCCCAAACUUGCCAAUAGUUGGAACACUUUAUCUUCAUCAGCCCUUUUCAAGAGUACAGCGGAUUCAGUGGUGUGUGGACGGUAUAGAUCAAGUUCAUUCCACAUAGAUUUCAAGCUUCCAAGAUGCUGAAUGAAAGUUUGAUCACCUUGCUUAAGCCCAGCGAGGCUUUUCUUCAGUUCAAACACACGAGCAGCAUUGUGUUGACUGCCGUACAUUUCCUUGAUCGAUUCCCAUAAGAUGUGUGAAGAAUCUGAGUAGCUGAAGAUCUCGGACAACUUGGGCUCCAUCGAGUUAAGUAUCCAGGACAUAACAAGCUGGUCAUUUGAGUGCCAUGCAUCAAAGGUAGCUGAGGAAGACUCUGGAGGCUUGAUGGUUCCAUUUACGUACCCUAGUUUCGAUCUUCCUCCUAGGGCAAGAGAUAUAGCUCGUGACCACGGCAAGUAGUUGAACUCAUUCAACAACACAGAGCACAGUCGUGGGUUGCUCUCCCCGUGUAUCAUGUUGGCUGGUGUUAGGGUUGAGGAUCUUGUAGCCUCAGAACUAAAUGAGAUAUCUUCUGCCAUCACAACAAAUGAUGAACAGAGAAAGAAGAACAAGCUAGAAGGAUAAUCAACAGAGGCAGGACCCUACGGUUCCUGCUCUGAUACCAUAUUGAAGUUUUGGUUUCAACUUUGUUGUUUUCAUCUUGUUGAUACUGCUGCAAUUGCAGCAUUGUUUAUAUACAUUUUACAUACACGCAUGCAAUAAAGAAAAGCAAUACAGGUGUUGUGCUUGCUGUCAUGAUGCAGCAACUAGAGAAAGAGAAAAACAGCAAAACCAUGUGAUAGUCUAUCUGUCCAACAUUCCUUUUCACAACCAUGUGAUAGUCUAUCUGUCAAGGAAUAUACAACAUUCCUUUUCACGAGCAAUAUUCCUUCUCUCCCAUACUGUCCUAGCUGUCCUAGCUGCCUAGCUGUCAAUAGUUACAGAUGAUUAACUCUAAGGUUUCUCAAUAUCUGUGAUCAAAUGCAUGCAAGUUAAAUGAGUUAUUUAGCUUGUUGAUUUUUCUUCAGCCACCAAUGCAAAAUUCAUACGAAUUCUCUCAUAUGCUUUGUAAAUCUACCAAGAUUGGUAAUAGCAUGCUACUCAGCAGAACAUUCAUUAUUCACCCAUUAGUAUUUAGCUCAUAGUUAUGAAUACAUACAUAUAUUUUGGAAAAUUUAAAUACCUAAUUGUGCAAAGCAUAUGAUGAGGGAAAGAAAAAACCAAAGUAGGUACCUGGCUAAACUGGAGAGUAGUGUUGUUAACAUACCUAAGAAUAUACUAACAUUCGUUUAAAAAUGCAUUUAUGUAAGUACUAACACCACAUGGCACUAAUAAUUAUUGCUACGCAUAUGAGGAUUAAUCAACCCUUAAUGGCACUAAUAACGAACUUACAUCUACAUAUUGAAGAGGAUUGAUAUAAUUGAGUGAAGUGUAAUCACUAACAUUUCACAUUUAACAUAAUUUCAAUUAUAAAAUCUACAUCCCAGUUAAAUAAUAAAAUCAGGGAUUAAA
RNAcentral lists this long non-coding RNA (5795 nucleotides) under Malus domestica (apple). RNAcentral's name for it is "long non-coding RNA (MDOM_LNC011915)". Lineage: Eukaryota; Viridiplantae; Streptophyta; Magnoliopsida; Rosales; Rosaceae. The record is from RNAcentral.